CCCUUAGAUGUUCUGGGCCGCACGCGCGCUACACUGAUGCAUUCAACAAGCCUAGCCUUGACCGAGAGGUCCGGGUGAUCUUUGAAACUGCAUCGUGAUGGGGCUAGAUUAUUGCAAUUAUUAAUCUUCAACGAGGAAUGCCUAGUAAGCGUGAUUCAUCAAAUCGCGUUGAUUACGUCCCUGCCCUUUGUACACACCGCCCGUCGCUCCUACCGAUUGAAUGUGUUGGUGAGGAGCUCGGAUUGGCAGCAGUUGGUGGUUCGCCACCGGCUAUUGCUGAGAAGUCCUCCAAACCGCCCCAUUUAGAGGAAGGAGAAGUCGUAACA
This 326-nucleotide ribosomal RNA is filed under the name uncultured eukaryote. Its description in RNAcentral is "partial 18S ribosomal RNA". It matches the Rfam family "Eukaryotic small subunit ribosomal RNA", at positions 1470 to 1796 of the family's 1831-position model. The record is from RNAcentral.